UCGCGAAUCAUUCACAAUGGACGCAAGUCUGAUGAUGCCACGCCGCGUGCGGGAUGAAGGCCCUUUGGGUUGUAAACCGCUGUCAAGGGAGGGGAAACACCUAGUGUUAACAGCGCUAGGCUUGACUGCUCCCUAAAGGAAGCCCCGGCAAAACAUGUGCCAGCAGCCGCGGUAAUACAUGUGGGGCAAGCGUUGUUCGGAAUUACUGGGCAUAAAGGGUGCGUAGGCGGUUUGUUAAGUCACUGGUGAAAGUUUGCGGCCCAACCGUAAAAUUGCCUGUGAUACUGGCGAACUUGAGUGCGUGAGGGGUAGGGGGAACGAGCAGUGUAGCGGUGAAAUGCGUAGAUAUUGCUCGGAAGGCCGGAGCCGAAGGGGCCCUACUGGUACGUAACUGACGCUGAGGCACGAAAGCGUGGGGAGCAAACAGGAUUAGAUACCCCUGUAGUCCCUGAGCGGGCUGGCAAGGCGCAU
This 471-nucleotide ribosomal RNA is filed under the name uncultured bacterium. RNAcentral's name for it is "bacterial SSU rRNA". It matches the Rfam family "Bacterial small subunit ribosomal RNA", at positions 355 to 825 of the family's 1533-position model. The record is from RNAcentral.